Molecule: non-coding RNA, 82 nt
Organism: Gammaproteobacteria bacterium
Lineage: Bacteria; Pseudomonadati; Pseudomonadota; Gammaproteobacteria
Source: Rfam
GCCGAUGUGGUGGAAUUGGUAGACACGCUACCUUGAGGUGGUAGUGGCGAAAGCCGUGACGGUUCGAGUCCGUCCAUCGGUA